GCCAUGCCAUAAACUAAGAUAGAAAAAUACAAUCUAUUCCGCCAAAGAACUACGAGCAAAAUGCUUAAAACUUAAAGGACUUGGCGGCAUUUCACAUCAAUCUAGAGGAGCCCGUCCUAUAAUCGAUACUACACGUUUAACCAAACCACUCUUGGUCCCUCCAGCCUAUAUACCGCCGUCGCCAGCUAACCUUGUGAAAGACAAAAAGUUAGCAAAACAGCCAUCACUAAAACGUCAGGUCAAGGUGUAGCUUAUAGAGUGGAUGAGAUAGGCUACAUUUUUUACUAUAAAAAAUAACGAACGGUAUAAUGAAAUCUUGUACCCAAAGGUGAAUUUAGCAGUAAAAUUAGAAAGAAUUCUAAUUUUAACAUUGCCC
Molecule: ribosomal RNA, 376 nt
Filed under: Platysaurus sp. SSV-2002
Lineage: Eukaryota; Metazoa; Chordata; Lepidosauria; Squamata; Cordylidae
Description: partial 12S ribosomal RNA
Rfam family: Bacterial small subunit ribosomal RNA
Source: RNAcentral